UGUGCCACUUUAAUAUCAAACCCAGAAUAUUUCAUGGGAAAGAUGGAAAUGGAGCUUCCAGUCGGGAAAAGUCGAGGUGAAGCAGGUCGGUGUUCUGCUGCUAUUUCCGUAAGGGUGGAAGCUGUGCUGCAUGAUACAGACAUCGUGUAUUUAUACUGCUAUUGAAACACCUUCCAAGCAAAAACUUUUCAGUGGUCCCAAGUCUUCCUAAUAUGUGGGAAAUUAUCGGAGGAAAUCAGAGGAAAUUUUGAAGUGCUAAUCUGGAACAUCAAUUUUAAAAAACAAGCGCCAACCAAUUAAGUUCAAAAUAUUUGGAUUUCCCCCACCCAGUGCUCCAGUUUUGAUGAGCUCUAUUGAUUUCCUCUUGCGUAAGUCACUUUCUCGUAAGCAUACCUCGGGAGAGAAAUAAAUCUGUUUGGAUACACUAGGAGGUCAGGCUGCGUUUAGAUGGCACCACUCACGCUUUGUCCAGACUGAGCAUUUGGAAGAGCAAUACAAUUUAUUACUGAAUGAGAGGAUGCAAAGAGCAUCUAGGUUUAACUGCUCCAUAUUUUUUUGUUUUAAAAUAUUCCUGGCAAGCUGUUCCUUUCGGUUCCCAAAGCGCUAUCAGAAGUUGGUGGAAUAAUGCUCUUCCAUGGGUCCAGAAGAAGCCAGGAAGGGGCUCCCCUGCAGAGGCAGUAGUCGAUGUUUUGGAUAAGGUGUCCUGCAGCACGGUUAUGUGACACUUCUCGUGCAGCCCCAGCUACGUGAGACUGCUUGGAGAACUGCACCAUCCUCCUUUCUGGCUUGGGCACCAACCCCUGCCAGCAGCACGCAGACAACUUGGUGAUGCUCAUAGGAAGCUCCUGGGGGCAGAAGAGCUGUCUGAAAGCUGGCCUGUACCCUGCCAUCCCUCCCUCUGUGCCAGCCCCAUCCCUGAAAACAGAGAUUUCUGUCCUUUAAGUGGAUGGGGGUGGGAGCCUUGCUCAGUGUGGCAGUGUUGGUGAUGCUUGGGGAUGCUGAUGGAUGCCCGUGGCACCAUGAUUGUGGGCCAGGGCCUCAAGGAAAGAAACGUGAAGGCAGUGAUCAGAGAAAGUGUGCAGAAUUCUCCUGCUCUUUUCUUUUUCAGUUUAAUUGACAUUCCUGACCUUUUCUCAGGGCAGUUUCCACUGAGAAGCAGCACCAAAUAUCCCUCUCUUCACCUCCCUGUGACACACCUUGGCUGUCUCCAGGGAGCCUGUCCUCUCCCCAGCACCCUGCAGCAUCUGGGGAACAGACGUGGCAGCAGCUCAAGCUCCAAAAAUGAUGUCAUGGAUUAUUUAUCUCUGAAAGCAUUAAAUGAUACAAAGCCCUUGAUGAGUCACUGGGAAAAACAAUCUUCAAGCCUAGCUGGUGCAAGAAGAAAAGACCAGUGGCGGUCCGCUUAAUGGACCUGCUUUAGCAAAAGACGUGAGACCCAUAAAUCCCCCGGUCUCUAACACUUCUAACACUUGAAAGCAAUUGCAUUUCUCCGUUCCUGAGUCCUGUAGUCAAGCACCAAGCAGCUCCCUGCCUGGCGUUUGGGUUUCAAAGCCAAGCAGCAUCGCUCCUUGGAGAGUUUGAGCCAGCGAGGUCAGCGGCAUCACAGCACGUGCUGCUGUCCCCAGCGUGGCUCUGUCAAAGCAUCCCAGGCAAACUGAGCAGUUACCAGGUUUUUAUAAGGUCCCUGCAAUCCCCCUUUGCAGCCUGAAAACAAAGGAAAAACAUGCCUCAAGCACACUGAUAAAGGGCUUUUGAAUGGAGGCAGCUGAAUCACACGCCAUUUCACAAUUAGCACUUUAAUUUUGAACAUUAAUUAGGACGCUGGUGUUUGGAGAGUUUAGCUCUCCUCGACCCACUUACAUUGUUCAGAGACGGGCUAAAGAGAUACUGAAGUUUGCAAAUAAAUCAAUGGGAAAAAAAAUUAAAAGUCA
Molecule: long non-coding RNA, 1931 nt
Filed under: Anas platyrhynchos platyrhynchos (common mallard)
Lineage: Eukaryota; Metazoa; Chordata; Aves; Anseriformes; Anatidae
Description: lncRNA (ENSAPLG00000022565.1)
Source: RNAcentral